AGGGAUGCUACCUGGUUGAUCCUGCCAGUAG
RNAcentral lists this ribosomal RNA (31 nucleotides) under Urmenetea atacamensis. RNAcentral describes it as "partial 18S ribosomal RNA". The record is from RNAcentral. Lineage: Eukaryota; Viridiplantae; Streptophyta; Magnoliopsida; Asterales; Asteraceae.